This 401-nucleotide ribosomal RNA is filed under the name uncultured Glomeromycotina. Its description in RNAcentral is "SSU rRNA". It matches the Rfam family "Eukaryotic small subunit ribosomal RNA", at positions 695 to 1092 of the family's 1831-position model. The record is from RNAcentral. Lineage: Eukaryota; Fungi; Glomeromycota.
CUCCCUUCUGACGAACCAUGAUGUUCAUUUAUUUGGUGUUGUGGGGAAUCAGGACUGUCACUUUGAAAAAAUUAGAGUCGUUUAAAGCAGGCUCACGCUUGAAUACAUUAGCAUGGAAUAAUGAAAUAGGACGUUUUGAUUCUAUUUUGUUGGUUUCUAGGAUCGACAUAAUGAUUAAUAGGGAUAGUUGGGGGCAUUAGUAUUCAAUUGUCAGAGGUGAAAUUCUUGGAUUUAUUGAAGACUAACUACUGCGAAAGCAUUUGCCAAGGAUGUUUUCAUUAAUCAAGAACGAAAGUUAGGGGAUCGAAGACGAUCAGAUACCGUCGUAGUCUUAACCAUAAACUAUGCCGACUAGGGAUCGGAUGAUGUUAAUUUUUUAAUGACUCAUUCGGCGCCUUACG